Molecule: long non-coding RNA, 438 nt
Filed under: Cyanistes caeruleus (blue tit)
Lineage: Eukaryota; Metazoa; Chordata; Aves; Passeriformes; Paridae
Description: lncRNA (ENSCCEG00000004382.1)
Source: RNAcentral
CCUGUCAUCCCACUGCAGGUGACAAAAUGCAACACAAACCCUCAGUUGGAGCCUAUGGCUGGUGAGGAGGUUUUGUCACCGAGCUGAUGACAGCUGAUCACUGAAACUUCUCUCAGUUUCUCAUGAUGACAAAUUCUGGUCUUCAGCUGCCUUCCCUGCAGAACUCCCAAUAUUUUAUCCUGAAGUGCUGCUUUUGCAGAAACUUUCUGGCCUGGUUUGUAUUUUCCUGUCAGGAUUCUUGCAUCUUCAAGGCAGAAAAUCACAUUGGAGACUCGCAGCACACAUGAGGAAACUCAGCUGAGAAUCUGGAUUGCGUUAGAUGAACGAGGAAACGACAUGAGACUUGUUUUUGUUGUGAUAAGAGGAAGAACAGAUCCGAUCAUAACAAAAACAGAUGUAAAGCCGUAACGCAGUCCCUCGUGUUAUCUCAUCCCCACU